AAGAGCUGGCUGCCCACCCACAUUCACAGCUACAAUAAGUAGGCCUUCUACAAGCUUCCUUACCACAGUUCUUGUUUGGAGCAUUUAUCUCAGUUGGUCUAGUACAUCCUGCAGUCAUAUCACUCACGCUUGUUUCAGAUUGAAGAUUCCCUUCUCAGUACAGACAUCUAAUUCUCUAGAUCUGUCAGAGCCACAAUAUGAGAAGCUUCUGGCACUCUGAUGUCCUGUCAGUUUUUAAUGCGAACUCUGGAAGUUCACGGACACGACGCUGUACAAUCUGAAGAAGAUAAAUCACAGUUACUUCGAGCCAGCUGACAGCAGUUUAAGCUGCUGCAAUCAUCAACCACCAAGGGAGUUUCUUCUUUUAUCUUACUAAAUGCAAAAGUAUACUGGGAACUGGUAAUAUCACUGGACUAUCAGGAGCCCUGCUUUUACAUAAAUAUCAGCAAGCGGGAAGGACUCCCAGAUCUGGAACAACAUUACAGACAGGAAGAGGACUGGCUAACAGUUAUCAUAAUGGGUAAACAUUCCUGUCUCUGUCCAAGAAGUCUUCUGCAACUUCAGAGAAAUCAAAUCUUUAUUCUGUGAAAUGGUUAUAAAGUUACUGUUGCUUCAGAUUGGGCAGUUUCAGGUCUUUUUAGGCAUACAGUUAUUUUUUGAUCAUACAAUGUCUAUGAAUAAUACAGUCAGGCUCUGAUCUAGACAGUGAAUGACUUAUGCAAUUCACCAGGUAAAAAAGGAGUCGAGAAUCCCAAUAAAGUGGCACAAUAUAUAGAGAAAAUCUGUUUCUAUAAUUCUGGUCUUGCGUAUAUUAAGAGAACACAAUUCAAUUGCAGGAACUGGGAAAUAAGUCCCCUAAAACCGGAGUUUUCACAUGUAAAACCAAUGUUGACAAGACUAAAAAUAAAUAGAUAAAUUCAGCUUGAAUUUUCAGAUUUCUUGAAUCAACAAAGAGAACAUACAAGCUUUUCAAAUAAUAAAUAUUUCCAAAUGACCAGGUAAUAAAGAAAUACAUUGUUAUAAAAAACAGUCUGAGUGGAAACCAUAAUAUGACCUGGUAAGGCAAUUGUAGUUACGGCAGUCGUAGAUUAUUGCAUAAUGCAUUUCACAGAAGCUUCUUCUAUUGUGCCUCAUUGUAUUUUUUCCUUCAAUUAUUAAAUAUAGUGGCUUAACCUCAAAAGCAAAUGUACUUGUCUUUACAUGCACUUGAAUUGUUACUACCAUUUAAAACUAAUCAAUGUUUUCUUUAGUACCAUAAUAGCUUGUUUGCAAAGCACCUCUUUUAGAAAAAUUUACACUGCAUUCAGGAAAAAAACAUGUUUCACAUUCUAAGAAAAACUCCUAAUAAAGUGAAAGAGGGCUUGAUUCUUAUCUCAAAGUUUAGUGCAAUUAAAAUGCCUUCAAAGCUUAAAAAUUUUUGCACAAAAGAAGCUGCUACUAGAUUAUACCAGAGUGCUCAUAUGUAAUACAUUGUAUGCAUUGUAUAUUAUCCUUACUUCCUAGAGUAAUUUGAAAGGACUCGCUAUAUAUAUAUAUAAUAUAUAUAUACACACACACACCCCUAUAUUCCAGAGUAUGUGAUGCAUAUGACUAUUUUAGCCCUAUAUGCUUUCUUUAAUGUUAACAAGGGAAAAAAUGGUUAAAAUCUUAUUAGCAGAGUUUAAAUGCACCAUUCCUUGGAAAUAUUAUACAUCUUCUGACCUGAAUGUUCAAUUGCAAAAAAAUCACAGGACAUCAAGGUCUCAUUCAGUAGUGGAAAGCCCAAGCUACUCCAGUAAAUUCAAUAUAUGUACUCAGAGUACGGUUUGACACAAAUGGGAAUGUUCACACCACUUUGCUCUAGCAAUAUAAGGGAGGCUUCUAAAUUAGUCUCUGUGGACUCCUUCAGAAGGAGGUCAGAGAAACAAAGUUAAGCAAUAUGAGUACCCUGAAUGUCUCAAGUUCUGCAUUUAUUCAACAACCAGAAGUCUUACGGAAGGAAAAAACAAGUUUACAUAGAACUCAUGCAAGUUCUUAUCACCUUCAAGUGUAAUUACUAUUUCAAUAAACAGAAAUAUGUGAUGCUUGUACUUAUACAUAAUUCCAUUGAUCCCAGUAAGGUAGCGAGUCUAUCACUAGGAUGAAAGUUAUAAAAAAAAAGAAAAAGUUAAUGAGGAUUAUAAUAAUAGAACAUUAGUAAAAAUAAAAGCUAUUGCAAUGCCUAUGAUCACAUCUGAGAACCUGAUACAGUUUGUCCCAUUUUUCUUGUUUGGUUUCAUAGUGAUACCUCCCCUUUAUAGUUCUGCAAUAUAUGUUUCAUUGUGUUUGGAGCACAGAUUUUCCAUAACAGUUCUAUCAUAUGUGAUACCUUCUGCCUACACUUCCAAAGCUUCUACACCUACCUUGCUCUCAGCUGAAUGUUGGUAAUACUAAUAGUGAUAGUAGGUAAUUUGUUUUCCUAUAUUAUCCCUGAAAAAGAUGCAGUGUAGGACUAUUCCUUAAAACUUUGUAGGUUUGCAUACAUGUUCAUACUGUAUGGGGAGCCAAGUGCUUUAAUUAGCAUAACUGCAACAUAAACUGGGUAACUGCAUGUACGGGUAAGUACAAUUAGCAGUUGCAGAAGUUAAAGGACUGUCAGGUAAACAAAUGCCUAGCACGUAUCAAGCAGAGGAGCAUUCUCUAGGCAGAUCCUAGAGGCUCUGUGUAGCUCUGCGUUUUUCGCCCCCCCUACAUACAAUCUAUUUUUGAAAAUCUGACUCUAUUACAAAAGUAAUGACAAAUGAGUAAUGACAAAGUAAUGGAUAAAUUAAAAGUAAGAUGAAGACUUUGAAUCACAAGGACAAGAAAUUUUCACCUGAACGUACAGUUCAGGGACAGAAUUUCUGACUUAUGAAAAGUAUAGUGUUCAAAAAUAUGCAGUGUGUUUCAAAAUGAGAUAACAAACAACAAAUAGGCACAAAGGAAUUAGUCAAAAUAUCAAAAGUUUUAACUAAUAAAAUAUUCUGUGUUGAGGAAUAUAGAGUGCCAAGCCUUACCAAAAAUAAAUAGAGUUACAAUUCAAAGCACUGGACAGUGUGACUGCCCACAAACCUAUGCCGAAGCAUUUGCCACCAACUGCUGAAUAGACUGAAGUCUUGCUCCUUUGCUAAAUUAUAUGUUUCAGAAUUAAUCCUGUAGCCUGCAGCACACAGAUGCUUUAUAGGGCAACUUAGAGCAAUCACCUCAUUAUUUAAUAGCAUUGCUUUAACUCCAUUGUGAUAGCUUUCACUGUUGGAUAUUUUCUCUUACAGGCUCAUGUUUUAUCCUUUUCCAGGACUACACACCUGUUUUCAGAGAAUUACAAUGACUUUAGUUGGAGCAGUGUAUAACAAGCAGCAGCUAUGAGAAACUUUCUGUGCAAUUUCUCCUUAGAUGGGCAUAUACUAUAAGCAUGAAUUUCUUUUAACUAGUUAUUCCGAGAUCCCAGCUAAAAAGACAUGUAUAUGUUUUCAAUAUUAUUCACCAUCAAUUGCAUGCAGUACAAAAGGAA
This is a long non-coding RNA of Anas platyrhynchos (mallard), 3508 nucleotides long. RefSeq lists it as uncharacterized. NCBI's taxonomy places the organism in Eukaryota, Metazoa, Chordata, Aves, Anseriformes, Anatidae. The record is from RefSeq and is a predicted model, not a curated record.